UACGGGGGGAGCAAGCGUUGUUCGGAUUUACUGGGCGUAAAGGGUGUGUAGGCGGCUGAAUAAGUCUGGCGUGAAAUCUUCACCGCUUAGCGGGAAGGGGUCGCUGGAAACUGUUCAGCUUGAGUAUGGUAGAGGCAAACGGAAUUCCUGGUGUAGCGGUGGAAUGUGUAGAUAUCAGGAAGAACACCGGUGGCGAAGGCGGUUUGCUGGGCCAUCACUGACGCUGAGACACGAAAGCGUGGGGAGCAAACGGG
This 254-nucleotide ribosomal RNA is filed under the name uncultured bacterium. RNAcentral describes it as "partial 16S ribosomal RNA". It matches the Rfam family "Bacterial small subunit ribosomal RNA", at positions 524 to 776 of the family's 1533-position model. The record is from RNAcentral.